GACGACCGCUGGCGGCGUGCUUAACACAUGCAAGUCGAACGGAAAGGCCCGCUUUUUGCGGGAUGCUGGGGUGGCGAGGGGGGGAGUAACUCGUAAGUAACCUGCCCUUGACUUAGGACUACCUUCAGGAAACGGGGGUAAAUCCCGCAUAGGGGCUCCUGCUGCAUGGGGGGGGUUGGAAAGUUUCGGCGGUUGGGGCUGGACUCGCGGCUUAUAGGCUUGUUGGUGGGGUAGUGGCUUACCAAGGCUUCGACGGUUAGCCGGCCUGAGAGGGUGACCGGCCACAUUGGGACUGAGGGACGGCGCAGACUCCAACGUGAGACAGCAGGGGAGAAUAUUGCACAGUGGGCGGAAGCGUGAUGCAGCAGUGCCGCGUGCGGGAUGACGGCCUUCGGGUGGUAAACCGCUGUCGCCUGUGACGAAGCGGGAGUGACGGUAAUGGGUAAAGAAGCACCGGCUAACUACGUG
This 468-nucleotide ribosomal RNA is filed under the name uncultured bacterium. RNAcentral's name for it is "partial 16S ribosomal RNA". It matches the Rfam family "Bacterial small subunit ribosomal RNA", at positions 28 to 507 of the family's 1533-position model. The record is from RNAcentral.